Molecule: ribosomal RNA, 274 nt
Filed under: uncultured bacterium
Lineage: Bacteria
Description: partial 16S ribosomal RNA
Rfam family: Bacterial small subunit ribosomal RNA
Source: RNAcentral
AUACGGAGGGUGCAAGCGUUAAUCGGAAUUACUGGGCGUAAAGCGUACGUAGGCGGUUCGUUAAGUUAGAUGUGAAAGCCCCGGGCUUAACCUGGGAACUGCACUUAAAACUGGCGAACUAGAGUUGAGUAGAGGGGAGUGGAAUUUCAGGUGUAGCGGUGAAAUGCGUAGAGAUCUGAAGGAACACCAGUGGCGAAGGCGGCUCCCUGGACUCAAACUGACGCUGAGGUACGAAAGCGUGGGUAGCAAACGGGAUUAGAAACCCUAGUAGUCC